This 1236-nucleotide ribosomal RNA is filed under the name Triticum aestivum (bread wheat). RNAcentral's name for it is "partial small subunit ribosomal RNA". The record is from RNAcentral. Lineage: Eukaryota; Viridiplantae; Streptophyta; Magnoliopsida; Poales; Poaceae.
AUGCGUCCGCCGUUCGUCCGGUGGAUCCCCUAUUCGACGGUUGUGCCCGACCGCCUAGGCGCGCUCCCGGACGCGGUACUCCAGCACGUGCUCUCGUUCCUGCCGUCGCGCGACGCCGUGCGCACCUGCCUGCUCGCCCGCCGCUGGCGCCACCAGUGGAAGUCCGUGCCGGCCCUGCGGAUCACCGGCUUCGACUCCUUCGAGAGCGGCCGCGACCUCAACGACUUCGUCAACCAUCUCAUCAUCCUCCGCGACCGGACGCGUCUCCAUGCGUGCGAGAUCGAGGCCUACUCGGAGUACGACGGCCGCGGCAACUAUUCCGCCGACGACGGAAGCGAGCGGUCCCGGUACACCGAUCUGUGGACCCGGUACGCCUCGUCGUGCCAGGCUCGGCUGCUUCGGCUCAGCGACCGUGACCCCGCUAAUCGCAUUGCCGAACACGAGUGGGUUCAGCUUAGCACUUCCAUCGCCUCUCCGCAUCUUACGACGCUGGAGCUCGAUGGCGUGCUGCUCUCGAUCCCUUCCGAUCUGGAUUUCUCGGCCUGCACAAACCUGCAGACAAUAAAGAUGAACCGCUGCACCUUCCAAAAUACAACCGACUACGGUCCUGUCAACAUAUCCAUCUUUAAGCUUGAUCACAGUUUCGAUAGGGACGGCGAGGAUGGUUCCUGGCUUCUUGGACGCCUGUCAGAUAUCACUAAUCUAGCGCUCAUUGCCGAGCCUCAAAUGUUUCCUGUUUUCAGGAAAGAUUUUAAGUGGUGCACCGCAUUUAACAAGCUCAAAACCUUGUCAGUCAAUGAUUGGUGUGUGGAGCCUGAUUUUCGCCCACUACUUUACUUUCUCCAGCAGUCACCAAGUCUCGAGAAGCUCUGCCUCCAACUAUUUAUGCCAUAUCAAAAUGCUGAAGGAACAAACAGAAGCUACGAUACGACAAAACCAUUUUUAGCAUCGAAGUAUCUCAGGGAUGUCAAGAUCAAAUGCCAUGAAAAAGAUGAGCGUGUUCACAAAAUUGUGAAGAUUCAGAGGAGUCAAAACUAUUCACAUUCAGAUUCAGGGCAGUCAAAUUACUCCUUUUCGUCGUGUCAGCCUACAAAUGAGGUAAUCACCAAUUACAAAGGAAAAGAGGUGGUGGCUGGUUUUGGUGCAAGAGCUGUACGGGUGAUAUCAUUGUCUCAUCUUGGGACUUCAUUGGUUUAUGCUCUGGUGUGGAUGAAGCGGAGCUUCGAGCAUGCCUAG